CCCGUUCCCAUUCCGAACACGGCAGUUAAGCUCUUCAGCGCCGAUGGUAGUUGGGGGUUUCCCCCUGUGAGAGUAGGACGCCGCCAAGC
RNAcentral lists this ribosomal RNA (89 nucleotides) under Vibrio vulnificus. RNAcentral also lists the same sequence under 19 other names. Lineage: Bacteria; Pseudomonadati; Pseudomonadota; Gammaproteobacteria; Vibrionales; Vibrionaceae. The record is from RNAcentral.